GGGCAUGUAGCGCAGUUGGUAGCGCGCUCGCUUAGCAAGCAUGACAAAGCACGUCACGUGACUGCGAGAGGUCUUGGGUUCAAUUCCCAACUUGUCCA
Ceratobasidium sp. AG-I is the source of this 98-nucleotide non-coding RNA. The record is from the annotation of a GenBank genome assembly. Lineage: Eukaryota; Fungi; Basidiomycota; Agaricomycetes; Cantharellales; Ceratobasidiaceae.